Molecule: transfer RNA, 55 nt
Filed under: Diptera sp. 53 LC-2017
Lineage: Eukaryota; Metazoa; Arthropoda; Insecta; Diptera
Description: tRNA-Leu
Source: RNAcentral
AAUUUGACAGAUAAUUGUAUUAAAUUUAGAAUUUAAUAAUAUUAUAUAUAAAUUA